CCCCUCUGUGUGCUUCUGUGUAACCUGAUUUGCAUAAACAUGAGUAAUUUAUGAAUAAUAAAUGCACUUGUAUUCGGCAUGAUCCGUUAAUUUGCAUAUCACCAUGGCACUACAGUUAUUUUUCCUGCUUGCUGCGCUAUCAUGAAGCCAUAAGAACUCGCAUAAAGCCGAAUCAAAAAGGAGAGUUAAAAGGAGAUCCGAAGAGCGGGGUGUCUUCUCUGUCGGCGUCACGUCGUUUUUCACCUCUGCUGGUGACUUCCUGGCGACGCCAGUCCCAUGGCACUCUGGGAAAACUGAAGGCCGAGGAUGCCUCUGGCAGGCGUACCCUGGCAACUGUCUGAGGUGGCGGGUGGGGUGGGUACGAGGGGUGUGUGUGUGUGUGUGUGUGUGAGCUCCACCGUAAAAAGUGCACUUUUGGUUCGGAGCUUCAGCCGUGUUCAAGUCCAAGGGACAGCCUCAUCACAGGAAUGAUGGCGAAUGGCAAUUCUGACGUACAUCUCACAGACCCUGCCUUAAAACAAUGGGCCUCAUCAUUUUAGCCACAAAGGUUUCUCUCUCUCUCUCUUUCUUUUUCUCUAUCUGUCCCUCUCUCUGUCUCUAUUUUCACCCCACCCCUCACAUCUCCAGAGAUAAUGGCAUAAUUUACAGCCAUGCAUUGAGAGGGAUGAAUGCAUUGUGAAGGCUGCCUUUUAGACUUAAUAGUCAUUCCCCGCUCACAAAUAACAGUGUUUUUUUCCUUAAAAGGAAUGAAAAAAAACCUUCAAGAGUGAUUUGUCCUUUUCUGUUCACAUUCUUGCUUUUAUGUUGUUUUUUUCAAUUUUUUUUCCUUAAGAUGCAAAAUUGAUUCUGAUUAAAUACGUGCACUCUACUUUUUGAAUUUGCUAUUUUUUAACAUAUCUUGAAAUAAAAAAAAGUACUGGCCUCAUUUUUUUUAUUUAUUAAUGUAUUAUCACCUGCUGAAAUACACAUACACAGAGAGAGCGAGAGAAAACAGAGAGAACGAGAGAAAAAAAGACAGAGACACAUACGCACGCAUGCACACACACUGCUCUUUGCCGCUCCACUGCAGGAAUCCUGCUGACCACGGGUGUGUGUCCCAGGGGAUGUCCUAUUGACUGAUAAUGACCUGUGCUCCCCAAAGCCGGCCAUGGCUCGAACAAGUGGCCCUGUGAGGGCCAAGGGACGGGAGGUGACGGAGGUUCAUAGACUGCCCAGCUAAUGCACUGACAAAAGGAACAUCUUGUACCCGGGUAAUCAACAACAACAACAACAACAACAAAAAACAUGGAGUGUUAAAAGGUGGAAUAAUUGGUUUUCUUCCACCACUGGUACACCCUAGGGUAAAUGCAUUAGUAAGGAAAUGCAUUAUUUUGUAUUCCUCUUUUAGAAGCCAUUUUGUUUACUUCAAAUAUUUUGUCACAUUAGCUGUUGAAAAAAAAUGUAUUACUUUAUUACUCCAUUAAAUACUCCACUACUCAUUAAUACUGUGGUGGUCAGUGUUUGUCUGUGUACGGGAGACGGAGAUCUGGAGAGCAAAUGCUUUUUCCUUCAUGAAUGCAUGAGUAGAAUAAAUCCUUGACACACAACACUCAUAUCAGAAGUUACUAAUAUUAGUCAUUCAGAAUUAGCCUAAAAAAAAAUGAAUUAAUCGAAAA
This is a long non-coding RNA of Clupea harengus (Atlantic herring), 1655 nucleotides long. The record is from Ensembl. Lineage: Eukaryota; Metazoa; Chordata; Actinopteri; Clupeiformes; Clupeidae.